This 450-nucleotide ribosomal RNA is filed under the name uncultured bacterium. Its description in RNAcentral is "partial 16S ribosomal RNA". It matches the Rfam family "Bacterial small subunit ribosomal RNA", at positions 354 to 796 of the family's 1533-position model. The record is from RNAcentral.
GUGGGGAAUAUUCCGCAAUGGACGAAAGUCUGACGGAGCAACGCCGCGUGAGUGAUGAAGGUUUUCGGACUGUAAAGCUCUGUUGUUUAGGACGAAAGUGCCUGUUGCAAAUAGUUACAGGUAUUGACGGUACUGAACGAGGAAGCCACGGCUAACUACGUGCCAGCAGCCGCGGUAAUACGUAGGUGGCAAGCGUUGUCCGGAAUUAUUGGGCGUAAAGAGCAUGUAGGCGGGAAUCUAAGUCUGUUGUGAAAAUGCGGGGCUCAACCCCGUAUUGCGAUGGAAACUGGGUUUCUUGAGUGCAGGGGAGGAAAGGGGAAUUCCCAGUGUAGCGGUGAAAUGCGUAGAUAUUGGGAGGAACACCAGUGGCGAAGGCGGCUUUCUGGACGGUGUCUGACACUGAGGCGCGAAAGCCAGGGGAGCGAACGGGAUUAGAUACCCGUGUAGUCC